RNAcentral lists this ribosomal RNA (693 nucleotides) under Russula puiggarii. RNAcentral describes it as "eukaryotic LSU rRNA". The stretch from base 234 to 387 matches the Rfam family "5.8S ribosomal RNA". The record is from RNAcentral. Lineage: Eukaryota; Fungi; Basidiomycota; Agaricomycetes; Russulales; Russulaceae.
AAAAGUCGUAACAAGGUUUCCGUAGGUGAACCUGCGGAAGGAUCAUUAUCGUACAACGGAGGCACCUAGGGUUGUCGCUGACCUUUACAGGUCGUGCACGCCCAGAGUGCUCUCUUACAUCCAUUUUACCCUUUGUGCAUCACCGCGCGGGGCCCCCUUAUCGGGGCUUUUGCGUUUUUACAACAAACACCACAUGUAUAGAAUGUCUUUUUGCGAUCACACGCAAUCAAUAUAACUUUCAACAACGGAUCUCUUGGCUCUCGCAUCGAUGAAGAACGCAGCGAAAUGCGAUACGUAAUGUGAAUUGCAGAAUUCAGUGAAUCAUCGAAUCUUUGAACGCACCUUGCGCCCCUUGGUAUUCCGAGGGGCACGCCCGUUUGAGUGUCGUGAAUAUCAUCAACCUUCCUGGUUGAAACCAGGAAGGCUUGGACUUUGGAGGUUUUCUUUGCUGGCUUUCAUUCAAAGUCAGCUCCUCCUAAAUGAAUUAGUGGGAUCUGCUUUGCUGGUCCUUGACGUGAUAAGUAUCCUUCUACGUCUUGGGUUAUGCAAUGUCACACUGGAACCUGCUUCAAACUGUCUUUGAAUGAAGACAACGUUCGAGUUGCCUCGCGAGUGGUAGCUUGACCUCACUGACCUUGACCUCAAAUCGGGUGAGACUACCCGCUGAACUUAAGCAUAUCAAUAAGCGGAGGA